Molecule: long non-coding RNA, 593 nt
Filed under: Sorghum bicolor (sorghum)
Lineage: Eukaryota; Viridiplantae; Streptophyta; Magnoliopsida; Poales; Poaceae
Description: long non-coding RNA (SBIC_LNC013870)
Source: RNAcentral
GCUUGGGCUCAGGCUUAGGCUCCGGUAUCGGCAUCGGUUCGGGCUUUGGUUCUGGCUAGGGCUCAGGCUUAGGCUCAGGUUUUGGUUUUGGCAUGGGCUCAGGUUUUGGUUCAGGCUUAGGCUCCGGCUUAGGCUCAGGCUUAGGUUUUGGUUCUGGCUUGGGCUCCGGUUUUGGCAGUGGUUCAGGCUUGGGCUCAGGCUCGGGUUUUGGUUCAGGCUUAGGCUCAGGUUUUGGCUUUGGCUCAGGCUUUUUUGGCUUUGGCUUUGGUUCAGGCAUAGGCUUGGGCAUCGGUUCGGGUUUGGGCUUUGGCUCUGGCUUCGUUAUGGGUUUAGGUUGAGGCUCAGGUUUAGGUUCAGGUUUCGGCGAAGGCUCUGGAUGAGGCUCAGUUUUUGGCUCUGGACGUGGCUUGGGCUCUGGUUUAGGUUCAGGUUUGGGCUCUGGCUGUGGCAGGGGCUGCGGCUGAGGCUGGGGUUCCGGUUUGGGUUGUGGCUCCGGCUGCGGCAGCUCGGCGGCAGCACGUCCAUGCUUGCGCGCGAAGCGGCCGCCAUGGCCAAGCCCGACGCCGGCAGCCGCCGCUUCGUCGACGAAGAAG